GCCUGACUGGCUCAGUCUGUAGAGCAUGUGACUCUUGGUCUCAGGGUAGUGAGUUCACAUCCCACAUUGGGCA
This 73-nucleotide transfer RNA is filed under the name Canis lupus familiaris (dog). It matches the Rfam family "tRNA". From Rfam's summary of the family: Transfer RNA (tRNA) molecules are approximately 80 nucleotides in length. Their secondary structure includes four short double-helical elements and three loops (D, anti-codon, and T loops). Lineage: Eukaryota; Metazoa; Chordata; Mammalia; Carnivora; Canidae. RNAcentral also lists the same sequence under 1 other name. The record is from Rfam by way of RNAcentral.